AUUUCAGUCGGAGUAACUCUGGGAAAAACGUAAGGGAAGAGGGAGACAGAGAGGUGUAGACACCUUCAAUUAAAAUUGUUUUUAUUUUUAAUUUUUGUACGCACCUCUCUUUCGUUCUCCCUCAAUUCCUUUUGAAUUGUAUAUACAACCUCCGGUGUUUUUUCAUCGGACAUAAUCGAAUCUUUUUUUUUCACCGGACAUUCCCUUUUUGUGUUGAACCAUGAAUCAUGAAGCUAAGAUCAUAAGGUAAUAUGGUGGAGUGGAAAAAGGUGAUGCACCCCGUUCGAAGAGUAUGGAAAGGGGUUACUGUGCGAUUAAAGCUUCGUAAAAAAGGUAAAUCUAAUUCGAAUGUUAUGCUUCAUCGUUUUAUAUUCAUUCAAAUUCGAAAUAUUUUCAUUUGGAGCUGACGAUGUGAAUUGAAACAGGGUUAAAUAAAUUGCAGCAAGAUGUGAAAGCUUCCAAGUACGAUGACGUGCACGUUAUGUGGGAUAUGCUUAGAGGAAAUGAAGAAGGCUCAAAGAAGAGCAAAUCCAACCAUAGCUGGAGUCGUUGUGGCUGAUAGUCUUCUGUUACAAAAAUAUGUGUUACUAUAUAAUUUUAUGUGGUCACAUAUUCAAGCUUUCUAACAUUUGAUAGUUUCACAAUUUAUCGCGUGAGGUUCUCAAGACCGCAUUUAAAAAUGUAUUAAUUGCCCACUUAGAUUGUCAAAUAUCGGUUGUUAGCCACCGUGUUGUGGUUGUCUAGCCACUUUCUCAAACAUGGAAUACAUGGGUUUAUAUCGUGUAUAUAUGUCGUUUUUUCAUCGGCCCACACAAAUAAAUACGAUGAGGAUUUCGGUAUAUCUGGUAUAUUGAGUGCUCCCACUUUUA
Molecule: long non-coding RNA, 869 nt
Filed under: Linum usitatissimum (flax)
Lineage: Eukaryota; Viridiplantae; Streptophyta; Magnoliopsida; Malpighiales; Linaceae
Description: long non-coding RNA (LUSI_LNC006166)
Source: RNAcentral